UUCACGCGGCGAUAUAAAGUUGGAUCGCCAGUAACCGGAAGUUAAAAUGCAAACGCUUCACUAGGAAGCGUUUCACGCAGCUGGUGCAAAAUCACUUUUAUUUUUUAUCUGCGGGAAGGAAAAACAGUUUUAUGUUGUUUUUUUUUUCCUGUGAGAUAGCACCAUCAUCAAAAUACAGAUGCUUUUCCUACAUCAGUGAUUUUUCACUACAGCCUAAGGGCCUCUUGGCUUUAAAGCUCUAGUUAUUUUUGCUAAUAUAUCAAGAAUUUAACUCCUAACUAUUUCAUAAAUCAACUCCAGAUGCACUGUACAGUAUUUAUAUACUUAUUUUCAGACGUACAUUCUGGCUCAGUAGAUUGCCAACUCACCAUUUCAAUGCUUCAAAGCGAUGAUGCUGGGAAUUGUCAGCUCUGAAGACAAGGUUAGCUCACAGGAGCAGAAUGUACUGUGUAAAAUGCUGAUUUAUGAAAGUGUUACAAUCCAUAUAUCUUGCAGGUCGAAUUGCAUGCAUUAUAUGAUCAGAAAUACACAGAGGAUUGAUCUGCCAGUGCUUAUUUUAAAGCAGAAUUCAUGUUGUCUCCAAAGGUGAGGGUGCCAGUGAUGCACUGGGGCAGAAGCUAGAAGGUGCAUCUUUCAACCCACCCGAGCCUGGAGAAGCUGUGGCAAAGCACUCCUGUACCCUGAUAACAAAACCCCGUGGCCUUACCCUCAUCCCAACAUUGCUGGGAGCAGUGAGCACCCUGCCCUGCCCAGGAUGAAAAAUAUCUCCUAAAACACACUCCACCCAUGUUUCAUGCCCUGCCCAGCCUGCUGCUUCGUCUCCAGGUGCAGAGGAAAGAGGUUAUUUUUGGCUAAGGUGCUACUGUCGUGGGACCUGGUUAUUUUAUAUAGUUUCUUUCCAGUUCCAGGUUAAUACAACGAUUCUGAUGAGCCGAUGUACAGAAAAUGGUAUCCCUGUCCUGUCUGAUGUCUUCUUGGUCAAGUCCAGUCUGUGUUUAUUGCUUCUCAAAUGGUAGCUGGAUUUGCUGGGUUUACAGAUCUUGCCUGGGGUGACAGCGCUGCUUGUCCAUGCAGGAAUGGACAAAUAGAGUUGAAGUUAUUUACUUUGUGAAUAAUAUCAUAAUUUUUUUUUUCUGAGUACCAGUUCGAUUAAAUAGUUUGGUUUGGGGUUUUGGCUGGUUUUUUUUUUUUUUCUUUUUUUUUUUUUUUAAUGAGUAUAAUGGUGCUGAAAAUGUAAAAAGUAAAUAAUUAGACUUAUAAAAUAGAGCAUUUAUUUAUUUAUAGUGGUCUAAUUGAAGGUGUUCCCCUUGUUAGUGUUAAAGUGGAAUAAUCUUAUUGUACAGGCAGCUGUAGAAGUAAGAAAGUACUUUAAACUAGUAGAAGAUUUUUCACACCUGCUCUCUUUAUGAAGCGCCGUCUUGCUUUUCCGCUGGUCUGACACAUGACUGCAGACCUGGCUCGAUCGGGAGUCUCGAUGUCCACCCACGCUGGAAGGCACAUCCGGACGGCCGGAGGCGUUGCCGGCUGCCGGCGAUGAUGGCAGAGCCCCGCUUGUGCGGCAGCUCCAGGCCUUGCCAGGCCAGGGCACGUCAGUAUUUCUUGUCCCUCACUUUCGGGGUGUCUUCCCGGUGCGGGGAACCCCCAAAGCCGGCCAAACCCUCCUGCGGGCGAGGAGCGCACCCCACGCCGGCGGUGCGGGGCGGUGCGGGGCGCCGGGCUCAGCGCCACCGGGAGCUGCUGAAGUGAGAACUUGAAAGGAGCCGUCGGUGGCGAGAAGAGGCGGACAAAGCAAGCGCCGAGCUACCGAACGCGGCGCUCUGCCGGCGAGUUUUAAGGCGCUUCAAGUCUAAAGGAGAAGUGACAGGGCAAUCAUCUCCCCGGCUUGGCUGCGGAUGGGAGGGUGGAAUCUUGCUAACAGCUCGCGUAUCUGUAUAUUUAAUUGCGACCUGGCUGCAUGUUCCUGUUGAGGAAGGAUGCAGAUCACAAGCGAAUCUAUAAAAACGCAGUUGACAAGCCAAGGAAAGGGAUAACUGACAGAUGAAACGACAGUCAGCGCGGAGCUAACUGGCAAACGCAUCGGUACAAAGUCAGAUACCUUCUUAGAGGAGUAGUAGUUUGUUUUAUUCCGGUUCUCCAGAGUUUUAUCUACUGUCGAUGUGAUGGGGUAGAGAGGAGCUAAUGCGCCCUGUUUAGGAUACACACAUGCAGAUUAGAUCAGGCUUCAGACACCGUGUUUCACUCAAGACUUAGAACAGUUAGAGGAAUAAACCAGGCUUCACCCACCUAGGAAAACAUGGAAUUUUCUUGUAAUGAUUUAAAGCUGAUUUACACUUGUUUAAACACAACCGUUUCACAUACAGAUAUAGGGAGCUAUCGGGAGUUGAUGGGGUCGGGAGCUGGGGCCCGGAGCUCGCCACCACCGUUAUGCGAGGCUGGGGCGCUGGGAAUACCAGCCCAGCUCCCGUUUUCUUCACUUUUGUGUUACUUUAAGUUUUCAAUGAGGCUAGUGUAAUUACGAGGCGUUUAACUUUUUGCCAGGCUCUUUCAUUAUGGCUUUGCAUUUGCACCUCGCUUUUAAGAGAAGUAAUAACAUUCACAGUCAGGGGCAAAUCCUGUUAAUGAACAAAUUAAAGUUCAAACAGUUAUUCAA
Long non-coding RNA from Chiroxiphia lanceolata (lance-tailed manakin), 2650 nucleotides. RefSeq lists it as uncharacterized. The transcript has 2 exons. NCBI's taxonomy places the organism in Eukaryota, Metazoa, Chordata, Aves, Passeriformes, Pipridae. The record is from RefSeq and is a predicted model, not a curated record.